UGGGGAAUCUUCCGCAAUGGGCGAAAGCCUGACGGAGCAACGCCGCGUGAGUGAAGACGGCCUUCGGGUUGUAAAGCUCUGUUAUACGGGACGAAUAAUCUUGUGGUUAAUACCCAUGAGAAGUGACGGUACCGUAAGAGAAAGCCACGGCUAACUACGUGCCAGCAGCCGCGGUAAUACGUAGGUGGCAAGCGUUGUCCGGAAUUAUUGGGCGUAAAGGGCGCGCAGGCGGCUUCUUAAGUCUGUCUUAAAAGUGCGGGGCUUAACCCCGUGAUGGGAUGGAAACUGGGAAGCUCAGAGUAUCGGAGAGGAAAGCGGAAUUCCCAGUGUAGCGGUGAAAUGCGUAGAUAUUAGGAGGAACACCAGUGGCGAAAGCGGCUUUCUGGACGAAAACUGACGCUGAGGCGCGAAAGCCAGGGGAGCGAACGGGAUUAGAUACCCCGGUAGUCCUGGCCGUAAACGAUGGGUACUAGGUGUAGGAGGUAUCGACCCCUUCUGUGCCGGAGUUAACGCAAUAAGUACCCCGCCUGGGGAGUACGACCGCAAGGUUG
RNAcentral lists this ribosomal RNA (551 nucleotides) under uncultured bacterium. Its description in RNAcentral is "bacterial SSU rRNA". It matches the Rfam family "Bacterial small subunit ribosomal RNA", at positions 355 to 896 of the family's 1533-position model. The record is from RNAcentral.